AUGGGGAUACUACUGGUUUCCGGGAGAUUCUUGGCUCGACGGCCUGCCCUCGCGCUCGCCCCUCGCUGCUCCCGAGGCUCCCCGGACAAGCGCGGCAGGGACGAAGUUAUGCCUGAUUUCUCUGAUCAAGUCAUUUAUGCUUCAUCAUCAGUCUUUGCCACGGCACAGCUUUCCUUCACCGUACUAGGUGACUCAUCGUCAACCGACUGGGAUAAGGCUUGGUCUACCUUUAAGAAGAAAGGGAAGAAGACCCUAUUCUCGGAGUUCUCACCGAACAAAUAUGUGACCUGGAACCCACGGCGCAGUGAGUAUCCAUUGUCAGAAGAAGUCGAUCCAAUCAAAAGAGCUGAGAGGUCUAACUUGAUGUUGUGGACAAGCCCAAGGUUUACCUUGGUAGGGGCUAUUAUCAUCAUUUCGGCAUUGCUAAUCUAUACAUUGGUUGUCCCACCCAAGUAA
Molecule: ribosomal RNA, 456 nt
Filed under: Triticum aestivum (bread wheat)
Lineage: Eukaryota; Viridiplantae; Streptophyta; Magnoliopsida; Poales; Poaceae
Description: partial small subunit ribosomal RNA
Source: RNAcentral